This is a non-coding RNA of Paramuricea clavata, 293 nucleotides long. The record is from the annotation of a GenBank genome assembly. Lineage: Eukaryota; Metazoa; Cnidaria; Anthozoa; Malacalcyonacea; Plexauridae.
AAAGUGAAAGAAGCAGUAGCAUAUAUCACGGAAAUUGCUUGCAAUUAUGAGGCUUUAGUGAAACAAUCUAAGGAGAAAUAUAGAAGCAGUAUGGCAGAACAAAUGAGCAAAAGGAAGAAGAAACAAAACAUGAGAAAAGAAAAGAGCAAGAUUAAGUAGAGGAAAAGAAAAUGUAGAAGAAGAUAUUGCCAUUGAGAUUAUAGAUCAGGAAGACAUGCAGUGUCAGUUUGAUAGAUGAAGGGGAUAAUGGUAGUUUGAUUGUAGAUGAAGAUAGUGUCAGUUUGAUUGUAGAG